GUAAUGACUUGUUCAGGGAGAUACCCUCUGUUUUGUAAAAUAUUAAGUUCAUGUUCAGCCAAAGGAUUCUAACUGGAGGCUUGUUAGCGAAGAAGUUACAAGUUCGUUCAGGAAUGUUUUGGACGUGGUCAUUGUUGUUCACAUUGGGAGUCAUCGUCUCAGCCAUGUAGCUUAUGUCCAGGCAGUUAAUGUGCCUUACAGUGACAAGAGACUUUGUGGAAACUCUGGGUAUUAUACUCUGUACAGAAUCAAGAUUUCUAUUCCCCCCCAAGCCUUCACUUAAUUUUUUGUCAUUCCUGAAGGCAAUCUUGAUGCUGGCUUUUAUGAAGGCAUACUUGAUUAUGACAUUUUUUUUUGCAUUCCCUAACAUAGAGGUUCAUAUCCUGAAGGCGACAGAACGAACGUAAUGAAAUCUUAGUCUCUUGUCUUGUAUGUUCAGUGGGGACUCUAUACGUGAGUUUUAGAGGGUAGACUGAAUGCCAUGAUCUCUAAUUUCAUUAUAUGUUGUGGGCAUCAGUGUCCGUUUUUUCAGGGCAUCUCAAAGUGUGCUUGCUAUGAUUAUUGGACCUGCAUGGUUUAUUUUUUGACAUUGUAAAUAGGUUAUUCUAAAGGAAGUUGUUGAGUGUUGUAGAAUGGCUGUAGAGAAAUUUUGGUCAUGUAUGACAUUUGAAGCGAUUGAUUUU
Molecule: RNA transcript, 683 nt
Organism: Fragaria vesca subsp. vesca
Lineage: Eukaryota; Viridiplantae; Streptophyta; Magnoliopsida; Rosales; Rosaceae
Exons: 2
Source: RefSeq, a predicted model, not a curated record